Molecule: ribosomal RNA, 271 nt
Filed under: uncultured bacterium
Lineage: Bacteria
Description: partial 16S ribosomal RNA
Rfam family: Bacterial small subunit ribosomal RNA
Source: RNAcentral
UUCCACGCCCUAAACGAUGUCUACUAGGCUGGGGAGGUUCUGACGCCGUCCUGGCCGAAGCAAAAGUGUUAAGUAGACCGCCUGGGGAGUACGGUCGCAAGGCUAAAACUCAAAGGAAUUGACGGGGGCUCACACAAGCGGUGGAGCAUGUGGAUCAAUUCGAAGCAACGCGAAGAACCUUACCUGGGUUUGACAUGCUUGGAUGUCUUACCGGAAACGGAUAAGAUUACCCGCAAGGGUGAAACAAGCACAGGUGCUGCAUGGCUGUCGU